This 981-nucleotide long non-coding RNA is filed under the name Pogona vitticeps (central bearded dragon). RNAcentral's name for it is "lncRNA (ENSPVIG00000002293.1)". The record is from RNAcentral. Lineage: Eukaryota; Metazoa; Chordata; Lepidosauria; Squamata; Agamidae.
GUAGCUUUCCAGACUCUACUUUUGUUGCCGGAGAGAAGUGACGCUGAUCUUUCGAAGUAUCCGAAGAUCAUCUAAGUCCACCCAUCCCAUUGCCUCUUAGAGAAAAUCCCAAAGUUUGGACCCCCUCACAGCCAAAGCUUCCUUCCCUAUAUUGCAAGUGGAGGGGUUGUUACGAUUUCUAAUCUGAGGAAGACAGAGACAGCUGUCCAAAAACAGAUCCUGGAAAGUUACUGCUUAGAAGUUUAAAUAUAAUGACAUGAAGAAUCCAUCCAUAAGGGCGCUUCAGCCCAGGCUUCAGCCUGUCGUCACACUGCUCGUUCUUCUUCAAAAUAACACCCCCAAGUUCUUAUUCAUUUGAUCCCUCCAGCUCCUUGCAAGAAAGGCCCUUUCCCUUCAAUCUACAGACCCGAGGAAAAGAGUUACUGUACUGCGAAACUAUUGGAUCACAGCAACAGGCCAAAUACUGCUUCUGGCACAUCUCGCCUAAAAUGGAGCAAGAAGCCGACGUCAGGUUGCUGCUGACAAAUCUAUCUAUUUGGGGCAAAUUGUCAGUGAGAAACUUCCGCUCGAACUCUUUGGGACAAAACUGGCUCUUUGAAAGGAUAAAUCCCAUUGCCUGAAGGCCUGAACAAUGGCCGAAUGUGUUGCUGUUGCCUUUGCCGCUACUGCUGCUGCUGCUGCUGGGGCUGGGCCUCUGACAAAGGGCGGAUUAAUUGGUGCCGUGGCUGACUGGUUCGAGAUGGCUCCACUCAGGGUGCGCUGCGGGGAGCCCCAUUGACUGGGCCCCGAGUCCCACUUUUCACAAACUCCAAACAAAAGUCAAUUUCUUUCUUAUAAGGCUGGGGAAAAGGAGAGAGGAGGGGUGGUGGGGGGAAAUUGCUCGGUGUUUGAGCUGGGGAAAGUGACUUGUUGGAUUAGAGGAUGUCAUGCUCUCCCUAGCUGUCUCUCUCAUGCUUUAAAGUUAGGGCUCCAAGAACUCCA